Molecule: ribosomal RNA, 435 nt
Filed under: uncultured Saccharofermentans sp.
Lineage: Bacteria; Bacillati; Bacillota; Clostridia; Eubacteriales; Oscillospiraceae
Description: bacterial SSU rRNA
Rfam family: Bacterial small subunit ribosomal RNA
Source: RNAcentral
ACGGAAGGCAGCAGUGGGGAAUAUUGGGCAAUGGGCGAAAGCCUGACCCAGCAACGCCGCGUGAAGGAUGAAGGUCUUCGGAUUGUAAACUUCUUUGAUUGGGGAAGAAUAAAUGACCUACCCAAAGAACAAGCCACGGCUAACUACGUGCCAGCAGCCGCGGUAAUACGUAGGUGGCAAGCGUUAUCCGGAUUUACUGGGUGUAAAGGGCGUGUAGGCGGCUCUGCAAGUCAGAAGUGAAAUUCCUGGGCUCAACCCGGGCGCUGCUUCUGAAACUGCAGAACUUGAGUACUGGAGGGGAAAGCGGAAUUCCUAGUGUAGCGGUGAAAUGCGUAGAUAUUAGGAAGAACACCAGUGGCGAAGGCGGUUAGCUGGACAAUAACUGACGCUGAGGCGCGAAAGCGUGGGUAGCAAACAGGAUUAGAUACCCUGGUA